RNAcentral lists this ribosomal RNA (253 nucleotides) under uncultured bacterium. RNAcentral's name for it is "partial 16S ribosomal RNA". It matches the Rfam family "Bacterial small subunit ribosomal RNA", at positions 524 to 776 of the family's 1533-position model. The record is from RNAcentral.
UACAGAGGUCUCAAGCGUUGUUCGGAUUCAUUGGGCGUAAAGGGCGCGUAGGCGGCGGGGUAAGUCGGGUGUGAAAUCUCAGAGCUCAACUCUGAAAUGGCACUUGAUACUGCUCUGCUAGAGGACUGGAGAGGAGAUUGGAAUUCACGGUGUAGCAGUGAAAUGCGCAGAUAUCAGGAGGAACACCGGUGGCGAAGGCGGAUCUCUGGGCCGAUACUGACGCUGAGGAGCGAAAGCGUGGGGAGCGAACAGG